GUUCACCAUAUCCAUUCUGUUCACCAUGUUCAUCCUGUUCGUUUGACAUAUUACAAUUUUGGUCUUGUUGUUGUUUUUCUUUACCAUUUCCACAUUCUAUGUCACCAGUUUGUUUAUUAAUAAUAUUAUCAUUACCAACUGAUUGAUUAAUAAUUAAAUUUUUUAAGUUGUAUACAGACAUUUUGUUACGUUUAUAAGCAAAUGUAGAAAAUAUUUGAAUGCUUACUAAAUUAAAGUAUAUAUAACAUGAAAAAAUAAAUUUUUUUAGAAUAAAAAAAUAUAUAUAUAUAUCAUUAUUACUACAUAAUAUUUUAUAUAAAUGAUAAUUAAAAUUAGAUAUAGGACCUUCCUUUGUAUAUAUAUGAAAAGAACACCAUUGUUUUUUUUUUAUUAAUAAUAAUUGGAAUAUUGUAAGACAAUUUUCUUUAAGCAUUGCUAUAUCGAACUCGUAAGGAUUAUUUACAGUAAUAAAAAAACGACAAGAAUUACUUAACUUUUCAUCAUAAUUAUAAUGAGGUACUUUAUUAGAUCUAUAUGCAUUUAAUAAUGGAAAGUUAUCAUACUCUUUUUCAUUUGAAUUGUAGGUAUUUAUAUUUCCAGUACCAGUGUCUGUAUUAUUACCCAUACAAUCAUCACUGUUAUAAUUAUUACUAUAUUUAUUACAACUAUUAAUAUUGUCACUAUUGUUAUUUUUUUUAUUUUUUUCAUAAUUAUGAAAUUGUGUUUUAAUAUGUUCAUAUAUAUGAAUAUAAUUAUUAUAUAAUUUACGUGUAUAAUUAUUCAACUUUUCAUUUUUUAUUUUAGCUACAUCACCCUCCUUAUUACUAUUACUAUUAUAAUUGCUAUUAUAAUUAUUACUACCAAAACCAACAUGACUAUUAUUACUGUUGACUUUAAAAUUAUUAUUAUGAAUAUUGUAACUCUUAUUCGUGUUAUUCGGGUUCAUAUAAUUUAUAUUAUUAUAAUUAUUUAUAUUUUCUUUUUUCCUUAACGGUGCAUGUAUACAUUCAUUAAUAUAAGUACUAUUAUUACUAUUACUAUUGUAACUAUAAUUGUUACUAUAAUUGUUACUAUAAUUGUUACUAUAACUGUUACUAUAAUUGUUGCUAUAAUUGUUACUACUAUCAUCUUCAUCAUUUUCAUUAGUAUACAUGUUUUUUUUUUUUUUUUUUUUUUUUUUUUUUUUUUUUUUUUUUUUUUUUUUUUUUUUUUUUUUUUUUUUUUUUUUUUUUUUUUUUUUAGCAUGCUGUUAUAUUUUUUAUUAAUAAAAAAUAUGUAUUAUAUUAAGAUUAUAUAUAUAUAUAUAUAGCACCCACAAAUUAAUUUUUGGCAAUGCAAGCCGUCCUAGUGUUCUAUAUUGCAUAAAGUUGUUUUAUUUUUUCUUUUCUAUUAAAAAAGGAGGUUGGGUACAUUUUUCUAUUUAUUCACUAACGCUGUUAUUCUAACUCAAAUUUAAAAAAAAAAAAAAAAAAAAAAAAAAAAUAAAUAACGUUAUAUGUAUUGAUAAAAAGUAAAA
RNAcentral lists this long non-coding RNA (1516 nucleotides) under Piliocolobus tephrosceles (Ugandan red Colobus). RNAcentral describes it as "lncRNA (ENSPTEG00000019119.1)". Lineage: Eukaryota; Metazoa; Chordata; Mammalia; Primates; Cercopithecidae. The record is from RNAcentral.